This 778-nucleotide ribosomal RNA is filed under the name uncultured bacterium. Its description in RNAcentral is "bacterial SSU rRNA". It matches the Rfam family "Bacterial small subunit ribosomal RNA", at positions 100 to 879 of the family's 1533-position model. The record is from RNAcentral.
GAACGGGUGCGUAACGCGUAUGCAACCUACCUUCAUCAGGGGGAUAGCCCGGAGAAAUUCGGAUUAACACCGCAUAAAAGCAUAGUACGGCAUCGUACAAUGUUCAAAUAUUCAUAGGAUGAGGAUGGGCAUGCGUGUCAUUAGCUAGUUGGUAAGGUAACGGCUUACCAAGGCGACGAUGACUAGGGGAUCUGAGAGGAUGACCCCCCGCACUGGUACUGAGACACGGACCAGACUCCUACGGGAGGCAGCAGUAAGGAAUAUUGGUCAAUGGAGGCAACUCUGAACCAGCCAUACCGCGUGCAGGAAGACGGCCCUAUGGGUUGUAAACUGCUUUUAUACGGGAAUAAACCUUGAUUCGUGAAUCGAGCUGAAUGUACCGUAAGAAUAAGGAUCGGCUAACUCCGUGCCAGCAGCCGCGGUAAUACGGAGGAUCCAAGCGUUAUCCGGAUUUAUUGGGUUUAAAGGGAGCGUAGGCGGCCAUUUAAGUCAGAGGUGAAAACUUGCAGCUCAACUGUAAGCUUGCCUUUGAUACUGAGUGGCUUGAAUAAACUUGAGGUAGGCGGAAUGUGACAAGUAGCGGUGAAAUGCAUAGAUAUGUCACAGAACACCAAUUGCGAAGGCAGCUUACUAAGGUUUAAUUGACGCUGAGGCUCGAAAGCGUGGGGAUCAAACAGGAUUAGAUACCCUGGUAGUCCACGCCCUAAACGAUGAUAACUCGAUGUUGGCGAUAUACAGUCAGCGUCCAAGCGAAAGCGUUAAGUUAUCCACCUGGGGA